CGCUGUAGCUUUUCUUACUGAAAUGCACUCGCAAUCACAUGCACAAACAUAAAAUUGUACAGUGUCAAGGCGCAAGAGUAAAUUUCAUGUACUAUGUGCUCCUCUAUGAAAUCGAAAGUGGGAAGCAACUUAAGCUUGCGUGCCGCCUUACCGAUGCCCAUAUUCAUCCAAAUAAUUUUCAAAAGAUGAGUGUGUGUUUGGCUGCAUCUCUUUUUUCAAAACGAAACGCCAUCGCGAUUUGUGAAUACAGAAACAUGCCAGCCAAAAACUAUCAAGAAGAAAGGAUCAAGGACAAGUUCCAAGAUACGUAAUAAAUAAUUUUUUCCUUCUUAUUUGUUAAUCGCUUUGAUUUGCAAUCAGGUUCAGAGCAUACAAUAUAUUUAACAAACCUGUUGAAUGAUGUGUUCGACAUAAUGAAUGCAAGAUUCUGUAAGGAAGGGAUAACUGUUCUGAAUUGGUUGCCUAAAAAGAAAAAGCUCGAGGAGAUGCUUGUAGUUCUGAAAAGAACAGAAAUGAUUUAUUUGCAAUCGGACAACAGAGAAAAAAUGUUUGCUUCUACGACGACCAUCCGUGGAUGGAGAACUUCGAUCCAAAGCACCAUAGCAAUUACCGAAGAGCUCUUCUCUAAAAAUUAUGGCUUUGUUCUCACAGGUAAAUUCAACCAGGAUGCCCUAGAGAGAUUAUUCGGGAUCGUUCGAUCAGUUGAUAGCCACCCAACGGUGACGUCUUUCUUGCAAAUAAUGAGAUAUGUCUCUUUGCUCGCUCGACUGAAUACGGUCGUAAAAGGAUCAAGCAUCGAUAGCAGUGAGCAAAUUGUAGUAUUGGCGACCAUCUCAAAAUGCCUUCACAUAAAGCAAAGCAAUCCGAUAUCGCUGCAGCUGACCUUAAAAAGUGUAUGGAAGAUAUUCUGCUGAAGGAACUAACUUCUAGAUACGUAGACUCACUUCCAGAACGAGAAAAAGUCGACUAUAUUAAUGAUAUCGCUAUAUAUGAUAUAUGUGGAUACAUGUUAAAAGCACGACCGUCUGUAACAGUAUGUCUUGAUUGUAAACAUUCAGUGCAAUGCGACGAAUUAGAAUUACCACCUGAUUUCAA
Molecule: long non-coding RNA, 1095 nt
Organism: Daphnia magna
Lineage: Eukaryota; Metazoa; Arthropoda; Branchiopoda; Diplostraca; Daphniidae
Exons: 3
Source: RefSeq, a predicted model, not a curated record